GCCGGCGCUGCCGUGGUUGCGGCGGCGGUUCGGGGGGAAUCGCAGCGUGCCGGUCUCGGCGUUGGUGAUCGGGAGCAUGAUCCCGGACGCCGGCG
This 95-nucleotide transfer RNA is filed under the name Alienimonas chondri. RNAcentral's name for it is "tRNA-Pro". Lineage: Bacteria; Pseudomonadati; Planctomycetota; Planctomycetia; Planctomycetales; Planctomycetaceae. The record is from RNAcentral.